Molecule: transfer RNA, 58 nt
Filed under: Loxopholis parietalis
Lineage: Eukaryota; Metazoa; Chordata; Lepidosauria; Squamata; Gymnophthalmidae
Description: tRNA-Cys
Source: RNAcentral
AGUCCCGGCACUUUUUGGGUGCGUGCUCUUGUUUGCAGCUUGAGUCUCUCGAGACUUG